GACGAACGCUGGCGGCGUGCCUAAUACAUGCAAGUAGAACGCACAGUUUAUACCGUAGCUUGCUCCACCAUAGACUGUGAGUUGCGAACGGGUGAGUAACGCGUAGGUAACCUGCCUGGUAGCGGGGGAUAACUAUUGGAAACGAUAGCUAAUACCGCAUAAUAUUAAUUAUUGCAUGAUAAUUAAUUGAAAGGUGCAAUUGCACCACUACCAGAUGGACCUGCGUUGUAUUAGCUAGUAGGUGAGGUAACGGCUCACCUAGGCGACGAUACAUAGCCGACCUGAGAGGGGGAUCGGCCACACUGGGACUGAGACACGGCCCAGACUCCUACGGGAGGCAGCAGUAGGGAAUCUUCGGCAAUGGACGAAAGUCUGACCGAGCAACGCCGCGUGAGUGAAGAAGGUUGUCGGAUCGUAAAGCUCUGUUGUAAGAGAAGAACGGGUGUGAGAGUGGAAAGUUCGCACUGUGACGGUAUCUUACCAGAAAGGGACGGCUAACUACGUG
RNAcentral lists this ribosomal RNA (505 nucleotides) under uncultured bacterium. RNAcentral describes it as "partial 16S ribosomal RNA". It matches the Rfam family "Bacterial small subunit ribosomal RNA", at positions 28 to 507 of the family's 1533-position model. The record is from RNAcentral.